Molecule: non-coding RNA, 88 nt
Filed under: human gut metagenome
Description: PGK RNA
Rfam family: PGK RNA
About the family: mammalian gut metagenomes.
Source: RNAcentral
AAAUCUUAUCAAAUCUAGGUAUUGCAAUUGUAAUUGAGAAAGAAAACUCAUAAUGGUGAGAUGUUGUACUAAAUACUGAUAAUAUUUA